Molecule: ribosomal RNA, 497 nt
Filed under: uncultured bacterium
Lineage: Bacteria
Description: partial 16S ribosomal RNA
Rfam family: Bacterial small subunit ribosomal RNA
Source: RNAcentral
GAUGAACGCUGGCGGCGUGCCUAAUACAUGCAAGUCGAGCGAACAGACGAGGAGCUUGCUCCUCUGACGUUAGCUGCGGACGGGUGAGUAACACGUGGAUAACCUACCUAUAAGACUGGGAUAACUUCGGGAAACCGGAGCUAAUACCGGAUAAUAUAUUGAACCGCAUGGUUCAAUAGUGAAAGACGGUUUUGCUGUCACUUAUAGAUGGAUCCGCGCCGCAUUAGCUAGUUGGUAAGGUAACGGCUUACCAAGGCAACGAUGCGUAGCCGACCUGAGAGAGUGAUCGGCCACACUGGAACUGAGACACGGUCCAGACUCCUACGGGAGGCAGCAGUAGGGAAUCUUCCGCAAUGGGCGAAAGCCUGACGGAGCAACGCCGCGUGAGUGAUGAAGGUCUUCGGAUCGUAAAACUCUGUUAUUAGGGAAGAACAAAUGUGUAAGUAACUAUGCACGUCUUGACGGUACCUAAUCAGAAAGCCAAGGCUAACUACGUG